GUGCAUUAAAACAUAUCGCGUGUGAAAACUGUUAGCGGAUGCUACUUAUGUGACGGGAGCUAAAUGUGUAUUCUGUGCUAUUUACAGUUCUUGGUCUUGGCUCACUGAUGGUGCAGUGGUACACACGUGGGGUCGAUUCCCGCUCAGCGAUGCUGUCGAUAUCUGACCGACGACCAGUUCAGUGUAUUGUAGUCCGCCUUACGCCUGAAGCUAGCUGGGAUAGGCUGCAGCUUUCCCGCAACCAUUGUGAGGAUAAGCGGCUUGGAUUAUGACACGGCGGUUCUCGGUUAAGAUUCGAGCAACACACACACACACACACACACGCACGUUGCAGACGAGGGUCUUCCUUGCGGUCUCGUAGCUUCUCACAGGAGCCAUUGUGUCCCCGCAGUCGGACCACCGGAGCGCUUGACGAGCAGCCAAGCCGGACCACUGCGCUAAUUGGCCCGCUGUGAGCUCCCACACUGGAUCUCACACACACACACACAGAUAAAGGGAGCUUGAAUUGAAUGCAA
This is a long non-coding RNA of Syngnathoides biaculeatus (alligator pipefish), 515 nucleotides long. RefSeq lists it as uncharacterized. The transcript is spliced from 3 exons. NCBI's taxonomy places the organism in Eukaryota, Metazoa, Chordata, Actinopteri, Syngnathiformes, Syngnathidae. The record is from RefSeq and is a predicted model, not a curated record.